Molecule: ribosomal RNA, 484 nt
Filed under: uncultured bacterium
Lineage: Bacteria
Description: partial 16S ribosomal RNA
Rfam family: Bacterial small subunit ribosomal RNA
Source: RNAcentral
AUUGAACGCUGGCGGCAGGCCUAACACAUGCAAGUCGAGCGGAUGAAGGGAGCUUGCUCCUGGAUUCAGCGGCGGACGGGUGAGUAAUGCCUAGGAAUCUGCCUGGUAGUGGGGGAUAACGUCCGGAAACGGGCGCUAAUACCGCAUACGUCCUGCGGGAGAAAGUGGGGGAUCUUCGGACCUCACGCUAUCAGAUGAGCCUAGGUCGGAUUAGCUAGUUGGUGGGGUAAAGGCCUACCAAGGCGACGAUCCGUAACUGGUCUGAGAGGAUGAUCAGUCACACUGGAACGGAGACACGGUCCAGACUCCUACUGAAGGCAGCAGUGGGGAAUAUUGGACAAUGGACGAAAGCCUGAUCCAGCCAUGCCGCGUGUGUGAAGAAGGUCUUCGGAUUGUAAAGCACUUUAAGUUGGGAGGAAGGGCAGUAAGUUAAUACCUUGCUGUUUUGACGUUACCAACAGAAUAAGCACCGGCUAACUUCGUG